GGGCCCGUAGCUCAGCCUGGUAGAGCAUCCGGCUCUUAACCGGAGUGUCGUGGGUUCGAAUCCCUCCGGGCCCG
Molecule: transfer RNA, 74 nt
Filed under: Candidatus Aenigmatarchaeota archaeon
Lineage: Archaea; Nanobdellati; Candidatus Aenigmatarchaeota
Description: tRNA-Lys
Rfam family: tRNA
About the family: Transfer RNA (tRNA) molecules are approximately 80 nucleotides in length. Their secondary structure includes four short double-helical elements and three loops (D, anti-codon, and T loops).
Source: RNAcentral